UGGCCCAUUGUGGGCCAAGGGAUCCUCCGCCUGGCGUCCCUGUGGUUUGUAGUUCUGCAUCUGCUCCGCUGGCAUUGUCUCUGCUAACGGCCAUACUGCUCAGGAAGCCAGAGCCAGGAGGCAAAUGAAGGGACUGCAUUGAUACCGCUGAUCACUGAGCCCCACAUAACUGGCAACUGUUUCUGUCUUUUACCUCUGGAGAUGAGUUGGACAGAUUGUGUAAAAUUCGAUGGCUCCCAAAGAAGUGGGGUAGGGGAAGAGAGUGGAACACCUUACUGCCUCAGCCCUCUAGCUACCCAGCACCCAGGGCUCUGUCAGAGUAACGUCCUCAGCACAGAAAGUAAAAGUGAAACAUCUGUGGGAGAGAGCAAAUCCACCGAUUUUAGGGAAUGUCUGCACAAAAGGAUGAGAAACUAAACACACUGUGCCCUUUUCUCUGUGGACAGAUGCUACAGGCUCAGAUCCUACUGCAGAGCCUUCCACUUCCUGGCUUUGGCUCUCCUAUGGCAAGAGAGCAGGCAAAGCCUUGCACCCUAUGCUUGAGAGAGUGCUCUGCUCGGACACAGGGGCAUCAGUGCCAGGAAGAGAGAGGCUGAGGAUGUGGGACAGUUAUCACAGACACCAUUCUCCCUUGCUCAGGAGCAUCUCAUUGCACAGGAUAUGGGCCACAGUCAUAAGGUGAGAUGAUUCAUCAUCUCUACCCAGAAAAAAUAGCCUGAGGAAGCUGACUGAUGGGGUUUGCUCCAUUUUGUCCAUCUUCCAACCAAGACAGUAAAGCAUACCUCCCUCGCUGCAUUCUGCCACCUUUCCACAUGCAUUAGCAGCUCUGCUGAUGUUUGCCAUGUGUUUGAGCAUGCAGGUGAAUUGCAUGUAAGUAGAUGUUUGCCCAUCCUUGCCUGGAUUUGAGGAGCAUUAUGACAAAAUAAGCCUCUAAUACAGAAUAAAUUUUGAUGCAAAUAGUUCCUAUCUGAAUUUUAAGACAAGGUGAGCCCCUACCAUAUCAUCCUGAUGGUUCCCUCCAGUGGAUCAGGUUCAGACAGACGUUAUAUGGUCCACACACCCUGUUAAUGUCUUUCUCCCUCUCUUUCUUCUUUCUUUCCUUGCCUCCCCCUCACUCCUUCUCCCCCCCAUUACACAGUCAGGCUGGGAUCAAAUUCAGCUUACUUGAAUGUAUAUCAUUUCCAAGUUGAAGUCUAAUCUGCAGCCACGUCCCCAGUGAGAUACUCAAUUUACCACUCCUGUAACUAAAGCUCAUUGUUACGGCUGUAAUAAUCUAAUGUCUCAUUUUCCUGCUUAUGGCCAACGUUUUGCAUUUUUAGGAAGUUUUCUAUGAAAUGCUUCUCUUUGCUAAGUCACACAUAGGCUUCCUGCUCCCUUCAACCCUUCUUGUCCUUCUGUCCCAUUCAUCACACCAAUGUGGAUUGAAAGAAAGAAAGGGAGGGAGAAAGGGAGAAAAGGAGAAAGAGAGGAAGAAAGGGAGAAAAGAAGAAAGAGAGAGAGAAAGAAAGGAAGGAAGAAAGAAAGGAGAGGAAGAAAGAGAGAAAGAAAGAAGGAAGGAAAGGGAGAAGGAAGGAAAGAAUGAGAAAGAAAAAGAGGAAGAAAGAGAGAAAGAAAAGAAAUUUUAUUUCCCCUUGGAAGAACCAAAACUGUUCAUGUCUAUAAAAGAACAACAGAGUGAUUAGGGGCCUACAGAUCAAUGUUCUCCAGAUCAGCACUUAAAUGGAAAUCACUUUGCAUGAAAAAUUCACGAUGCCCUCUAUCCUUCCCAUGGAUAAUGGGGACAUCUGGUUACAGGAGAAGGAAUCAUUUUACCUACGUACAUAUAUGAGAUCCAGGCUUGUGUGCUUUCCAUGUAAUUCAUACAAUGACUGACAUUGCCUAAAUUAGUUAUCCUGUCACUAUUUUGAGCAGUCUAAUACAGCUUGCUCAGAUGAGUCCAAGCCCCCAAUAUCAGCCUCACAAGAGGCAGGAUAGUAGGCUAGAUAUGAUCACUUCUGAGAUCCCAUAAUGAUUACCUGCUGAUAGUUUUUAACAUUUGAAAAGUACUGAUUAAAGAGUCAGUGCCAGUC
Molecule: long non-coding RNA, 2069 nt
Organism: Pogoniulus pusillus (Red-fronted tinkerbird)
Lineage: Eukaryota; Metazoa; Chordata; Aves; Piciformes; Lybiidae
Exons: 2
Source: RefSeq, a predicted model, not a curated record